GUGGUCCUAAAGGUCUUUCCCAAUACAAGGGAGCGCUGGGGACAGUGGGAGUGCCAGGUCAGGGAUGCAGCGGGCUUGCAGUGCGCGUCGAGCUGGGGACCUCCGGAGACUGAGCGCUGUAGAGCGCGCGCUGGCUGGAGGCAGGAGCUGACUGCCUGGCCACGGCGCGCAGGGGUGACUCCCAGGACGACGCAGUCCGGACACCGCGAGCAGUGAGGCGUCCUGGGGAUCAAAGGAGCCAAAGGAGGCCAGCCGGCGCGUCUGGGAUUGUGGGAUAAGAGGCGGGAGAGAGACUGGCAGGGGCGGGGAGAUGUUGGCCCGUCCCUUGUCACUUGGGAGGGUGUACGUGUGCAUCUUUGUAUGGGUCAAUACGCUCCUGCCCGAGGCCGAGCCCUGGGUGGAUCAGAGUGUGGGUGGACAGGCUCCCUGGUGGGUGCCCCUACGGGAGGGAGGGAAAGCGGGCAAGAGAGCUAGAUCAAGGGCAGCGAGGUCUGCGGGUUCCUCUGUGUGUGUGUCUCAGGCCCUGUGGCUCAGCACUGGAGCCGCCUGGCACCCACAGGAAUGCGGCUUCUCUCGGAUCCCCAGGCUGCCUCUUGUCCCACAAGGAGGUGGCCGCCAGGAAAAAGAGGGAGAAAAGGGCAGAAGUCCGCCUAGCCCAACCCGAGCCUCAAACAAAGGCCAAUUUAUCUGAUCUCUUACAGGAGGGCCUAUGAGGCUGGCAGGGCACCGAGGGAUCUCAAAGCCUUCUCUGCGUGCCCUGAGUCCCCCUGGGCUUUGUCAGGAGGUCGGAAGAUGGGAGGUGGGGGUUGGAAGUAUUUGGGGUGUGAGAGAAGAGCCCACUGGAAAAAAAAAAACCCCAAAAAACUAAUCUUGGAAUGGGCUUAAUGCAUCUUCAAAGCAUGACAGUGCUUCCAAGCACAAGAAUGAGAGAGCUAGACAAGUGGGGAUAGGAAGGGAUAGGCAGAGGGGAUUCCCAGUUCGAAAGCCAGAAGUGUUGGGUCAGCCAAUCUGGAAAUAUUCUGAGUAGCAGUACAGGUAACUGUUAGACAUAGGAAGAAAUAAUGGAGGACAAGAAGGAGGCAGGGUGGGAGGAGGGAAAAAGGAAGGGACAGAGAGAGAGAGAGAGAGAGAGAGAGAGAGAGAGAGAGAGAGAGACUGAUAUUUUUAGAAUUUGCUGAGGGUCUGUUAUUUUUACAUCCUUGGGCCAGGGCUGCAGGGAGUUAAAUUCCCUGUGGAGAAUCCCUGUGGUGCCAGGAAAGCCCACUACAGAUUGGUUUGCCAGAAUAUUUUUGUUCAGACCUCCAGGAUCAGAUAAAUUUUUUUUUUUUUAAAAAACCCUGUGAGAGAAGAGGACACUGCAAGAGGAAAGAGUGAGGUUAUCACAAGGGAAGCAAUCCUGAAACAGUCUGCGUUCACAAGAGAAAGGAAAAAGGAAGAGAAGGGAGAAAUAGAGGAGAUGGAAGGCUGUGGGGAGAGAAGAACCAAAGAGAGAAUGAGAGAGAACACAGCAAAACACAGUAGUCCCAAAAAGGAAAGCAAGAGAGAGCAGGCCAUCUAAUAGAGCGUCCCCGAGGCCAGCGCCAGCGGGUGCUGUAAGGAGCCGGGCGGCGGCAGGUGGGAAUUGAUAGAGGUGGCUGCGCUUGGGUACCAGGAAGCAGAGUUCUCCAGGCCCCGGUCAGUGGGACUACGAGACAACGGAAGGGGACCAUCCGGGGAGGCUUCCCCACACAACAGCGCCCCCCACCUGGCGACCUUCCGGGCGCGGCCGCCGCCCGAGGCUGCGGAGGAGCGGGGGCGACCUCUUGGGUCUCCGGCCUCUGCCCACCGCCGGCCCUCGGUCCCCGCUCACCCUGGGAAAGGCUUCGAGCAGUGAAGAGAAGCAGACACUCUGCUAAGAUUGCAAGACCGUCUAGAACAGACCCACCCGACGUUUGCAGCCUAGGACACUGGCCCCCGCCCCCGGAGGCGCGAGGCAGGGGCCACGUCGGGACGCGUCACACAGCCGUCCCCACCGCCGCGCUGGCCCCGUCCGCCUGCUCCGGCGGAAAGGGCGCAGAGGCUGGUGGCUCUCAAGGGUACUAUCGCGUCAGCUGCAGCCGGUCGGGACCGAACCGCGCAGCGCUGCCAGGCUCGCAGGCUCGGCAGGCCCGGUGCCCGGCGGCGACAGGAUUUACCUGUGUCUGCGUCAGUCCCAGAGAGGCCGCCAGCUCGGCGCGUUCUGGCAGGGCGAGGUACUGAGUCUUCUGAAACCUUCUCUGUAAUGCGGCCAGCUGAAAGCUGGAAUAAAUAGUCCUGGGUUUACGAAC
Molecule: long non-coding RNA, 2306 nt
Organism: Cavia porcellus (domestic guinea pig)
Lineage: Eukaryota; Metazoa; Chordata; Mammalia; Rodentia; Caviidae
Exons: 4
Source: RefSeq, a predicted model, not a curated record